Molecule: ribosomal RNA, 301 nt
Filed under: uncultured bacterium
Lineage: Bacteria
Description: partial 16S ribosomal RNA
Rfam family: Bacterial small subunit ribosomal RNA
Source: RNAcentral
CAGCAGCCGCGGUAAUACGAAGGGGGCUAGCGUUGCUCGGAAUGACUGGGCGUAAAGGGCGCGUAGGCGGCAUAUACAGUCAGGCGUGAAAUUCCCGGGCUUAACCUGGGGGCUGCGUUUGAUACGUAUGGGCUAGAGUGGGGAAGAGGGUCGUGGAAUUCCCAGUGUAGAGGUGAAAUUCGUAGAUAUUGGGAAGAACACCAGUGGCGAAGGCGGCUUACUGGCUCAUUCUAGACGCUGAGGUGCGAAAGCGUGGGGAGCAAACAGGAUUAGAUACCCCUGUAGUCCCUGUCUCUUAUAC